This 229-nucleotide ribosomal RNA is filed under the name uncultured bacterium. RNAcentral's name for it is "partial 16S ribosomal RNA". It matches the Rfam family "Bacterial small subunit ribosomal RNA", at positions 568 to 796 of the family's 1533-position model. The record is from RNAcentral.
UCCGUAGGCGGGCCAUUAAGUCAGGGGUGAAAGUCUGCGGCUCAACCGUAGAAUUGCCUUUGAUACUGGUGGUCUUGAGUUAUGGUGAAGUGGCUGGAAUAUGUAGUGUAGCGGUGAAAUGCAUAGAUAUUACAUAGAACACCGAUUGCGAAGGCAGGUCACUAACCAUAUACUGACGCUGAUGGACGAAAGAGUGGGGAGCGAACAGGAUUAGAUACCCUGGUAGUCC